This 441-nucleotide ribosomal RNA is filed under the name uncultured bacterium. RNAcentral's name for it is "partial 16S ribosomal RNA". It matches the Rfam family "Bacterial small subunit ribosomal RNA", at positions 338 to 795 of the family's 1533-position model. The record is from RNAcentral.
CCUACGGGAGUCAGCAGUGGGGGAUAUUGCACAAUGGGGGAAACCCUGAUGCAGCGACGCCGCGUGGGUGAAGAAGUAUUUCGGUAUGUAAAGCCCUAUCAGCAGGGAAGAAAGAAGACGGUACCUGACUAAGAAGCCCCGGCUAACUACGUGCCAGCAGCCGCGGUAAUACGUAGGGGGCGAGCGUUAUCCGGAUUCACUGGGUGUAAAGGGAGCGUAGACGGCCGUGCAAGCCAGGAGUGAAAGCCCGGGGCCCAACCCCGGGACUGCUCUUGGAACUGUGCGGCUGGAGUGCGGGAGGGGCAGGCGGAAUUCCUGGUGUAGCGGUGAAAUGCGUAGAUAUCAGGAGGAACACCGGCGGCGAAGGCGGCCUGCUGGACCGCGACUGACGUUGAGGCUCGAAAGCGUGGGGAGCGAACAGGAUUAGAUACCCGAGUAGUC